GCUGCCCCUGGUAACAUUGCAGGUGUGGCUACUGUGUCACAUGCAUGUCAUCAGUAAGAAGCAGAAAGGUUAUGUCUGUGCUCAGUGUCGUAACCGAUGAACAUCUAAGUGAUUAGUAACCUAACACU
Molecule: small nucleolar RNA, 128 nt
Organism: Mastomys coucha (southern multimammate mouse)
Lineage: Eukaryota; Metazoa; Chordata; Mammalia; Rodentia; Muridae
Product: small nucleolar RNA SNORA17
Exons: 1
Source: RefSeq, a predicted model, not a curated record